RNAcentral lists this ribosomal RNA (253 nucleotides) under uncultured bacterium. Its description in RNAcentral is "partial 16S ribosomal RNA". It matches the Rfam family "Bacterial small subunit ribosomal RNA", at positions 524 to 776 of the family's 1533-position model. The record is from RNAcentral.
UACAGAGGGGGCAAGCGUUGUUCGGAAUUACUGGGCGUAAAGGGCUCGUAGGUGGCCAACUAAGUCAGACGUGAAAUCCCCAGGCUCAACUUGGGAACUGCGUCUGAUACUGGAUGGCUUGAAUUCGGGAGAGGGAUGCAGAAUUCCAGGUGUAGCGGUGAAAUGCGUAGAUAUCAGGAGGAACACCAAUGGCGAAGGCAGCUCGCUGGGACGGUACUGACGCUGAGACGCGAAAGCGUGGGGAGCAAACAGG